GCCUCGAUGGUGUAGUUGGUUAUCACGUGGGUCUCAUAUCAGAGAUACGACCGAGAGCGCCUUGCGCUUGCAAUCCCGAGGUCGAGAGUUCGAUCCUCUCUCGGGGCA
Rhodotorula diobovata is the source of this 108-nucleotide non-coding RNA. Lineage: Eukaryota; Fungi; Basidiomycota; Microbotryomycetes; Sporidiobolales; Sporidiobolaceae. The record is from the annotation of a GenBank genome assembly.